Molecule: ribosomal RNA, 790 nt
Filed under: uncultured bacterium
Lineage: Bacteria
Description: bacterial SSU rRNA
Rfam family: Bacterial small subunit ribosomal RNA
Source: RNAcentral
AGAGUUUGAUCCUGGCUCAGAUUGAACGCUGGCGGCAUGCCUUACACAUGCAAGUCGAACGCGAAAGGGGGCAACCCUGAGUAGAGUGGCGAACGGGUGAGCAAUACAUCGGAACGUGUCCUGUAGCGGGGGACAACCUCGAGAAAUCGAGGCUAAUACCGCAUACGAUCUACGGAUGAAAGUGGGGGACCGCAAGGCCCCACACUAUAGGAGCGGCCGAUGCCGGAUUAGCUAGUUGGUGGGGUAAAAGCCUACCAAGGCGACGAUCCGUAGCUGGUUUGAGAGAACGACCAGCCACACUGGGACUGAGACACGGCCCAGACUCCUACGGGAGGCAGCAGUGGGGAAUUUUGGACAAUGGGCGCAAGCCUGAUCCAGCCAUGCCGCGUGAGUGAAGAAGGCCUUCGGGUUGUAAAGCUCUUUCGGCCGGGACGAAAUGGCGCGGGGUAACAUCCCGCGUCGAUGACGGUACCGGAAGAAGAAGGACCGGCUAACUACGUGCCAGCAGCCGCGGUAAUACGUAGGGUCCAAGCGUUAAUCGGAAUUACUGGGCGUAAAGCGUGUGCAGGCGGUUUCGAAAGUCCGAUGUGAAAUCCCCGGGCUUAACCUGGGAACUGCGUUGGAAACUACGAGGCUAGAGUGCGGCAGAGGGGGGUGGAAUUCCAGGUGUAGCAGUGAAAUGCGUAGAGAUCUGGAGGAACACCGAUGGCGAAGGCAGCCCCCUGGGUUAGCACUGACGCUCAUACACGAAAGCGUGGGGAGCAAACAGGAUUAGAUACCCUAGUAGUCC